CCUACGGUUGGCAGCAGUGGGGAAUAUUGCACAAUGGGGGAAACCCUGAUGCAGCGACGCCGCGUGAGUGAAGAAGCGCCUCGGCGCGUAAAGCUCUGUCAGCAGGAACGACGAUGACGGUACCUGAAGAAGAAGCCCCGGCUAACUACGUGCCAGCAGCCGCGGUAAUACGUAGGGGGCAAGCGUUAUCCGGAUUUACUGGGUGUAAAGGGAGCGUAGACGGCGGGGCAAGUCUGGAGUGAAAGGCCGGGGCCCAACCCCGGGACCGCUCUGGAAACUGGAAGGCUGGAGUGCGGGAGGGGUAAGCGGAAUGCCUGGUGUAGCGGUGAAAUGCGUAGAUAUCAGGAGGAACACCAGCGGCGAAGGCGGCUUGCUGGACCGUGACUGACGUUGAGGCUCGAAAGCGUGGGGAGCAAACAGGAUUAGAUACCCGUGUAGUC
Molecule: ribosomal RNA, 440 nt
Filed under: uncultured bacterium
Lineage: Bacteria
Description: partial 16S ribosomal RNA
Rfam family: Bacterial small subunit ribosomal RNA
Source: RNAcentral